GACGAACGCUGGCGGCGUGCCUAAUACAUGCAAGUCGAGCGGACUUUCAAGAAGCUUGCUUUUUGAAAGUUAGCGGCGGACGGGUGAGUAACACGUGGGCAACCUGCCUGCAAGACGGGGAUAACUCCGGGAAACCGGGGCUAAUACCGGAUAAUAUCUUCCUUCGCAUGAAGGAAGGUUGAAAGGCGGCGCAAGCUGCCGCUUGCAGAUGGGCCCGCGGCGCAUUAGCUCGUUGGUGAGGUAACGGCUCACCAAGGCGACGAUGCGUAGCCGACCUGAGAAGGUGAUCGGCCACACUGGGACUGAGAAAAGGCCCAGACUCCUACGGGAAGCAGCAGUAGGGAAUCUUCCGCAAAGGACGAAAGGCUGACGGAGCAACGCCGCGGGAGCGAAGAAGGUCUUCGGAUCGUAAAGCUCUGUUGUCAGGGAAGAACAAGUACCGUUCGAACAGGGCGGUACCUUGACGGUACCUGAACAGAAAGCCACGGCUAACUACGUG
This 499-nucleotide ribosomal RNA is filed under the name uncultured bacterium. RNAcentral describes it as "partial 16S ribosomal RNA". It matches the Rfam family "Bacterial small subunit ribosomal RNA", at positions 28 to 507 of the family's 1533-position model. The record is from RNAcentral.